RNAcentral lists this ribosomal RNA (305 nucleotides) under uncultured bacterium. Its description in RNAcentral is "bacterial SSU rRNA". It matches the Rfam family "Bacterial small subunit ribosomal RNA", at positions 337 to 634 of the family's 1533-position model. The record is from RNAcentral.
GCCUACGGGGGGCAGCAGUAGGGAAUCUUCCACAAUGGGCGAAAGCCUGAUGGAGCAACGCCGCGUGGGUGAAGAAGGUCUUCGGAUCGUAAAACCCUGUUGUUAGAGAAGAAAGUGCGUGAGAGUAACUGUUCACGUUUCGACGGUAUCUAACCAGAAAGCCACGGCUAACUACGUGCCAGCAGCCGCGGUAAUACGUAGGUGGCAAGCGUUAUCCGGAUUUAUUGGGCGUAAAGGGAACGCAGGCGGUCUUUUAAGUUUGAUGUGAAAGCCUUCGGCUUAACCGGAGUAGUGCAUUGGAAACU